RNAcentral lists this unclassified non-coding RNA (404 nucleotides) under plant metagenome. Its description in RNAcentral is "partial contains 5.8S ribosomal RNA, internal transcribed spacer 2, and large subunit ribosomal RNA". It matches the Rfam family "Bacterial small subunit ribosomal RNA", at positions 358 to 777 of the family's 1533-position model. The record is from RNAcentral.
GGAAUAUUGCACAAUGGGGGAAACCCUGAUGCAGCGACGCCGCGUGAGCGAAGAAGUAUUUCGGUAUGUAAAGCUCUAUCAGCAGGGAAGAAAAAAUGACGGUACCUGACUAAGAAGCACCGGCUAAAUACGUGCCAGCAGCCGCGGUAAUACGUAGGGUGCAAGCGUUAUCCGGAUUUACUGGGUGUAAAGGGAGCGCAGGCGGUGCGGCAAGUCUGAUGUGAAAGCCCGGGGCUCAACCCCGGUACUGCAUUGGAAACUGUCGUACUAGAGUGUCGGAGGGGUAAGUGGAAUUCCUAGUGUAGCGGUGAAAUGCGUAGAUAUUAGGAGGAACACCAGUUGCGAAGGCGGCUUACUGGACGAUUACUGACGCUGAGGCUCGAAAGCGUGGGGAGCAAACAGGA